AAAGUCGUAACAAGGUUUCCGUAGGUGAACCUGCGGAAGGAUCAUCGUUGAUGAUAUCUGACCUGUGGGGUUUUUGAUACCCUGUGGGUUUAUUUUUUCAAAUCCCAACCAAAAGAAUAGGCGUUGACUGAGGUUUGUUUUGUUUGGAGAAAAGGACAAAACUUUCAACAACGGAUCUCUUGGCUCUC
Molecule: unclassified non-coding RNA, 188 nt
Filed under: Basidiomycota sp.
Lineage: Eukaryota; Fungi; Basidiomycota
Description: partial contains small subunit ribosomal RNA, internal transcribed spacer 1, and 5.8S ribosomal RNA
Rfam family: Eukaryotic small subunit ribosomal RNA (bases 1-47)
Source: RNAcentral